UCGACUUUUCUUUGGUUGGUUGAACAAUGGUCGGCGUGAAUGUAGCUUCAGAUAAAUUCAGGUUAGAGAAAUAACUUUUAAAAAAUAAGACUGAAGACACAAUUCAGAGACAAUGUUAAAAAAGUCUUAACUUUUAAGUUUCUAAGAAUUAAAUGUCAUUUGUAUCCUAAAUUUGCACAAAGCUGAUUAAAAUGACACACUUUGCCUCCAGAACAGUGAAAGAGAAUAAUAAAUGUUUAAAAGAAGGCUGCUAAAAAGUAAUUCACAUAAAUAAAAGAGCUGGAUUUUUUUAUUAUAUCCUAUUACAUUCAGAUCUUCCUCUUGGUAUUUUAUAUUUACUCCAUUUGUGAGGUUUGUUCUCUCGUUUUCUUUUCUUUCAGUCACAUUUUCUCGGUUCAUGUUCUAUUUUCAGGGUUUGUGUUUUCUCUGUCACUGUCACACCAGAGUUCACUUACUAAUUACUCACAGCUGUCUUCAUUUAAGCUCAUCAGUCUCAGUGUAUUUAAGUGUCAGCUUUUGUCAGCUCAUUAACUUUUAUAUCCUUUUGUUUUCUUUCAUUGUGGUCUUUUUUUUUUUUUUUUGUGUGUGAAAGUUUUCUGCCUUUUGUCACGUUUUAUUGUAAGUGAUGCUUGUGUAUUUCUAAAAAGAAGCAGAAACAAUGGGACUAAAAUUAAAACUUUUUUGACAGAAGGAAAAGAAAAGUCAUGAGGUCUUUUUGAAGAGAGGAAACGCCACAAAAUUCAAACGCAAACAUUUGGAUCCCUGUGUGAACUCUGCAAAUGAGCCAAAGCUCUGUUUUGGGAAAUUGUGAUGAGUGAAAAGGCAAAGACGGAUGCAGUGAGAUUCAAAACAACAAGACUGAAGUCGAUGGCGCACACACCCCUCGUUGUGAGUCCCUUUUUGACGUGAAUCCAUGCGUGGAGCGGAGUACGGGCGUAAGCUCGGAGAGAAAAGGCAGAGAAGACCGGGCAAGGAGGAGAGUUGCUGACGGGAAACCAGGAGGACAAUUCCGUUCCUCACUCCGCAUGACCAUUGAGCUCGUCCUCCUGCGUCAUGCCGUGGUUUUGCCAAUGUCGUAGAAUUUAGAUUUUUUUUUUUUUUUGUUCCAACUUAUUACCCAAAGUUCUUCAUAAAGU
Molecule: long non-coding RNA, 1136 nt
Organism: Oryzias melastigma (Indian medaka)
Lineage: Eukaryota; Metazoa; Chordata; Actinopteri; Beloniformes; Adrianichthyidae
Exons: 2
Source: RefSeq, a predicted model, not a curated record